Molecule: non-coding RNA, 27 nt
Filed under: Mus musculus (house mouse)
Lineage: Eukaryota; Metazoa; Chordata; Mammalia; Rodentia; Muridae
Source: RNAcentral
UUGCAUGCCUCCACCUUUAACCUCAGU